Brachypodium distachyon (stiff brome) is the source of this 348-nucleotide long non-coding RNA. RefSeq lists it as uncharacterized. The record is from RefSeq and is a predicted model, not a curated record. NCBI's taxonomy places the organism in Eukaryota, Viridiplantae, Streptophyta, Magnoliopsida, Poales, Poaceae. The transcript is spliced from 3 exons.
GGACAUUCUUGCUUGGUGGAAAGCAAAUACCGAGAAAUACCCAAUCCUUUCAGCAAUGGCUCGAGACUUUCUUGCUGUCCCGUUGAGCACAAUAUCUUCAGAAUCGGCAUUCAGCUGUGGUGGCAGAAUUCUGGGGGAUUAUCGAAGCUCAAUGAAGCCAGAAAUGGUCGAGGCAUUGGUUUGUAGUAAAGAUUGGUUGACUGAACUUCCGGAGAACGAAGGUAAAGACCCAAUGGUGAUUGUCGCCUAGAUCUUUGAUCUCCAUCAAUGCCUACAGGUUCUACAGUGGUGUUGUUAAAGAAAGCCAAGGGAGAAAGAAGUGUCAUCUGAAGAGGAAGAACAUGCCGG